RNAcentral lists this ribosomal RNA (225 nucleotides) under uncultured Acinetobacter sp. RNAcentral describes it as "partial 16S ribosomal RNA". It matches the Rfam family "Bacterial small subunit ribosomal RNA", at positions 568 to 792 of the family's 1533-position model. Lineage: Bacteria; Pseudomonadati; Pseudomonadota; Gammaproteobacteria; Moraxellales; Moraxellaceae. The record is from RNAcentral.
CUCGUAGGUGGUUUGUCGCGUCGUCUGUGAAAUCCCCGAGCUUAACUUGGGAAUUGCAUUCGAUACUGGGAAGCUAGAGUAUGGGAGAGGAUGGUAGAAUUCCAGGUGUAGCGGUGAAAUGCGUAGAGAUCUGGAGGAAUACCGAUGGCGAAGGCAGCCAUCUGGCCUAAUACUGACGCUGAGGUACGAAAGCAUGGGGAGCAAACAGGAUUAGAUACCCCGGUA